CCUCUUAAUAAUGAUGAUAUUAUCACCUAUCUUCUUGCAGGACUCAGUCAUGAAUAUGACAGCCUCGUAACCUCCAUUUCAGCAAGAAUCGAUGCCGUCUCCUUGGAGGAAAUCUACUCUCUUUUAUUAACAUCUGAAGC
This 140-nucleotide small nucleolar RNA is filed under the name Salix viminalis (osier). Its description in RNAcentral is "Small nucleolar RNA Z247". It matches the Rfam family "Small nucleolar RNA Z247". Rfam says of the family: Z247 is a member of the C/D class of snoRNA which contain the C (UGAUGA) and D (CUGA) box motifs. Most of the members of the box C/D family function in directing site-specific 2'-O-methylation of substrate RNAs. The record is from Rfam by way of RNAcentral. Lineage: Eukaryota; Viridiplantae; Streptophyta; Magnoliopsida; Malpighiales; Salicaceae.